UUUUUUUUAAGUGGGCUUUAGAAUUUUUGAAAGAUUUUUGAAUUUUGGCUUUCAAUUAAUCUGCAGUCCUACGGGCAUUAAUUAUAAAUAUAAAAUGAAUGUACAUUUAAUAGAUAGGUCAGGACACAGUUUGAACAUUUUAACCAUGAGGUUUUUAGAUUGCUGCAGUCUAGACCUGAUUAGAGAUUAAAAAAAAAAAAAAAAGAAACAUGGAAACAUGCACAAAUAAGAUUAAAUGACUAAAUCCCAUCAUGGUGGUAGAUUAACUGCCCCAGGUGUUCCUUAUGAUGUGCCAUGAUGCUUAAUGAGUUCCUUAAUGAUUUGAAAAGGGGAAGGGAUAGUAUGGCAACAAAAUUUGUUAGGACACUAGGCUAUAUAGGUGUACAAGAACCUGAUGUGACUGUAGAGAAUGUUAAGGAAACUUAUAUAAGAUUUAUUUUUGCCCACGUUCAGACUCGCUCGCACACAGGCACCCGCACCACGCUCCCCUUACCCUCUCCAUGGCAGCAGCCAGGCUGGGCUGGAACCAGGGAGCACCACUGCCAUCAGAAGGGGACCCCAUGCCUUCACCCACUGUCCCCAUACUCACCCAUGGGCUUCCCAUGGAGGCAGCUACUUCCUUGA
Molecule: long non-coding RNA, 624 nt
Filed under: Anas platyrhynchos platyrhynchos (common mallard)
Lineage: Eukaryota; Metazoa; Chordata; Aves; Anseriformes; Anatidae
Description: lncRNA (ENSAPLG00000023665.1)
Source: RNAcentral